RNAcentral lists this ribosomal RNA (430 nucleotides) under uncultured bacterium. Its description in RNAcentral is "bacterial SSU rRNA". It matches the Rfam family "Bacterial small subunit ribosomal RNA", at positions 354 to 776 of the family's 1533-position model. The record is from RNAcentral.
GUGGGGAAUUUUGGACAAUGGGCGAAAGCCUGAUCCAGCGACGCCGCGUGCGGGAGGAAGCCCUUCGGGGUGUAAACCGCUGUCAGGGGGGAAGAACCGGCUCGGGCGAAUAGUUCGGGCAACUGACGGUACCCCCAGAGGAAGCGCCGGCUAACUCCGUGCCAGCAGCCGCGGUAAUACGGAGGGCGCAAGCGUUGUUCGGAAUUACUGGGCGUAAAGGGGGCGCAGGUGGCUUGGUAAGUCCUAUGUGAAAGCCCGCGGCUCAACCGCGGAAUUGCAUAGGAUACUGCCGAGCUUGAGACGGGUAGAGGCGAGUAGAAUUCCCGGUGUAGCGGUGGAAUGCGUAGAUAUCGGGAAGAAUACCAGUGGCGAAGGCGGCUCGCUGGGCCCGUUCUGACGCUCAGGCCCGAAAGCGUGGGGAGCAAACAGG